This 460-nucleotide ribosomal RNA is filed under the name uncultured bacterium. RNAcentral's name for it is "partial 16S ribosomal RNA". It matches the Rfam family "Bacterial small subunit ribosomal RNA", at positions 338 to 795 of the family's 1533-position model. The record is from RNAcentral.
CCUACGGGAGGUAGCAGUGAGGAAUAUUGGUCAAUGGACGAGAGUCUGAACCAGCCAAGUAGCGUGAAGGAUGACUGCCCUAUGGGUUGUAAACUUCUUUUAUACGGGAAUAACAUGUUCCACGUGUGGGAUUUUGUAUGUACCAUAUGAAUAAGGAUCGGCUAACUCCGUGCCAGCAGCCGCGGUAAUACGGAGGAUCCGAGCGUUAUACGGAUUUAUUGGGUUUAAAGGGAGCGUAGGUGGAUUGUUAAGUCAGUUGUGAAAGUUUGCGGCUCAACCGUAAAAUUGCAGUUGAAACUGGCAGUCUUGAGCACAGUAGAGGUGGGCGGAAUUCGUGGUGUAGCGGUGAAAUGCUUAGAUAUCACGAAGAACUCCGAUUGCGAAGGCAGUUCACUGGACUGCAACUGACACUGAGGCUCGAAAGUGUGGGUAUCAAACAGGAUUAGAUACCCUGGUAGUC